UGGCUCGGGUGAUGGACCGCCACAUCAGAGAAGCUAGUGCUUGGAAUGAUGAGAUUGUUGGUUCUCCGGCUUUUCUGUUCUCGUCGUUGGCUCUUUCUCUGAGAUGAGCGAUGGAUUCGAACGGGAAAAGGAAGAAUACUUCUUUCAGGUUAGGUGCUUUGGGUCUCAGGAUAUAUUCUUCCGGUUCAUUGUAAGGUAGUUUGAUCGGAAUCGAUGUGCCGUCGACGAACCAACGAUCGAGAACCGGUGGGCGUGAAAUGGGAUCAACACCACGGUUUAUUUCAGCCCAUGCUGUGACGAAGUUCCAGAAGGCUGUACCAUCGCCGACGACAUGGUUUAAGGAGAUCCCGAGGAAGAAGCCGUCGACAAGCUCCGUGAGUUGAAUCGCGAGGAGAGGAUCAUUAUGAGCAUCGUAGCAAAUAGCCAAAUCCAAGCAAAACAAGUCCUUAACGAAGGAGGGAGUGUAAAAAGGUUCGACGACGUCUGCAACCGAUAUUCCGUCGGCAACUGAACGAACGAAGUCCGCUCCUCCGGCACUACAAUCGAUGUAAGUGAAUAAACCCUUGGUUCCAUCUCGGGGUUUCUCCGUCACAAGACGACCGGCCAGUGGGUAGAAAUGGAGGAGAGCUUGAGCCAAAGAGUUCUGGAGAUGGUCGAUGACGUCGUCGAGACGACACGAUACAUCCGACAUGGAGAAGAGAUGUCCUUUCUGAAUGUACUGAGCCGAGAGCAUAGAGAGAUCCCAUGAUGCAAGAUCGAUCCGUGGUGGAUGACCUGACGGCGGACUCACCGAACAAGUCGAAAUUCUUCGAACCGGCGAUGGCAUUCGAUAAACAGAUAAUAAUCAGGUCGGUCAUAGCCCAUCGGUGGUAUAAAUAGGCAGUCAGAUUUGGUUGGUAUGACAUUAACGGAUCCACAAUUUAAAUCCACAUGGAGACGGGUGGAUUUGGGAAAUAUAGACUUGAGUUGGUUGUGGGCCCAUGUGGGGUUGAAUAUUUGAGAUUUAUUUAUUUAUUUAUUUACUUGGGUUUGAUUUAUAUUUGAAAUUGUAUUAUUCAAAUUUCAAAGAUAUACAGCUAUUAUUUUAUAUCAAUUUUUAACUAAAGUAGUAAAGUCUAAAUAAAAAUAAAAAGAUUGUAGCAUUAUAAAUUAAUAAAGCCAGCCCCCAUGACGUGGAUGAUUCGUCGCUCAAAAUAUUAUAUAUUGUCGACGGCUGACUUGAAAGCUGAAUUUUCAACGUCGUUCAAUUUCUUGUUCAUCAGCCUCCAGAUAAGACUGAUGUGUGAGACUUGAAAAAAACAGGUUUGAUGAAAAUUUUAAAUUUAACAGAUUGAUAACUUUCUUGUUCUUCUAUUUUAGGCAUCCCCGUCUAUGUUUUUUUGUAUUAAUUGAAUUUAAAAGUUACAAACAGUGUGUGUCUACGGCUCUACGGCUCUACGCCUCUAGGGCAACUAAUGUUAUAAGUCCAUGUGGAAUUCGCCCGUUAUGUCAUAAAAAAUCGACCCAUCCGAUUUCACUUAAAUAAUUGCAGUUUGCUCCCUAAACUCUUUAAAUAUAAAUGGAUGAAUCUUGGGUAAAUUAUCUGUACAUAGAAACUCAAGAAACAAUUUCACAUUAUGUUAAACUGAUUAUAUUUUUCUGCUAAUACUGAAAUGUUAUAAUCAGUUUUUACUUAGUAUUGUGAUUCUAAACAGUACACUAAACUUCUGUUUAAUUACUUAGAGUUUAUGUCUUAUUUCCUUUAUCACCCACUUUGGAAAUUCUCUAAUGUGGUUGAAGUAUGAAGUGUAUAUAUAUACAACCCUCUUCCACUACGGACGUCUGUAGUGAAAGUGCACUGUGAACGGGGCUCGGAUUGACGAAAAGCGCGCUGAGUACCGCAUCAUUCAACAAGACAAGAGUACCGCGUCGCCGAACCUCAUUGCACUAAUCCACAUGACAAACCGUGCAAUAGGCGAAUUAUUGAGCAUUUCCAUCGAAGCAGUGCAUAGUACCAUGACAAACAAUGCAUAGUACCGCAUCGCAAGAAGGGACGACGACCGGAGCUACUAUGUCAGAUUCGCUGAACGUGAAAGGCGGAAACGUGUUCGGUUGUCGAAUGCCAAUCGGCACCUGACUGUUUCAUUCUCUGGAGAUUGUCUUGCUCGGGUGAUGGACCGCCACACCAGAGCAACUAGAGCUUGGAAUGACGAGAUUGUUGGUUCUCCGGCAUUUCUGUUCUCCAUAUUGACUGUUUCUUUGAGAUGAGCGACGAAUUCGGACGGGAAGUGGAAGAAUACUUCUUUCAGGUUGGGUGCUUUGGGUCUCAGGAUGUAUUCUUCCGGUUCAUUGUAAGGUAGUUUGAUCGGUAUCGAUGCACCGUCGACGAACCAACGGUCGUGAACCGGAGGGCGAGAAAUGGGAUCAACACCACGGUUGAUCUCAGCCCAAGAAUUGACGAAGUUCCAGAAAGCUAUACCGUCGCCAACGAUAUGGUUGAAGGAGAACCCGAGGAAGAUCCCGUCGGCAAGCUCCACGAUUUGAAUCUUGAGGAGAGGUAAAUGAUGACCGUCGUGGGAAACCUUCAAAUCCAUGCAAAAGAAUUCCUUAACGAAGGAAGGAGUGUAGAAAGGCUCGACGACAUCCGCAACCGAUAUACCGUCGGCAAGAGCACGGACGAAGUCCGCUCCUCCAGCAUUACAGUCGACAUAAGUGAAGAAACCAUUGGUUCCAUCUCGGGGUUUCUCCGUCACGAGACGGCCUGCGAGUGGGUAGAAAUGAAAGAGAGCUCGAGCCAGAGAUAUCUGGAGUUGGUCGACGAUGUCGUCGAUACGAGACGAUACAUCCGGCAUGGAGAAAAGAUGUCCUUUCUGAAUGUAUUGAACCGAGAGCAUAGCGAGGUCCCAUGAUGCUAAGUCGAUCCGUGGUGGAUGAUCCGGCGGUGGUCUGACCGUUGAAGUCGAGAUAAUUCGUACCGACGACGGCAUUCUUAGAACUAUCUAUUCGAUAUAUUUGAAGAAUGUUGGAAUGAUAAUGCGGAUUCUAUAAAUAACCAGGCAUUAAGUUUACCGGAGAUCGAUUAUGGCCCAUGACGAGUAAUAAAUAAUGACGUACGGUGAUAAAUAGUCGAAGUUAAACAUGGUCAGUCAAUAUCGAUCUUGUUCGUUAAAUCCGCCCCCAGAUUAAAACUAAUGAUCCGAGAUUAAUGACUCGAAAUCGACGUACAGGUGGGAUAAAUAUAAAGUUUGAUACGUUUUAAACUGAUGAGAUUGAUGGUCGAUCUUUAAUUUAGGGUUUAUAGCAAAAUCCUGUUUUUCUCGUACGUUAAUCUACAGUUAAAAUAAUUUACUAAUUGAUCCUUGGAUGAUGAUUAACAAAAAGACUUGAUUUUUUACUAAUUGUUAUUAGUGAACAAUAUAUAAAUAAUAUAUAUUUUGUAAUCCUCAGCAAAAACCCUUUUCAUGUCUAACGAAAUCUUAUCCUCGCGUAUAUAAAAAAAAAAUGCCGUUUAUAAAUAAUAAUAUUUUAGAAAUGUAUUUAUCUUAAGAGUCGUGUACGUUAUAUUUGCUUAAUAAAAUAAGAAAUGAAAUUUACAAACGUGGCAAAUGAUGAUAGAAAUUAAAAUGUAGACUCAAUGAGAGUUUCAAGUUUCAACAGUGGGUGGGGUCAAUAGUUAUUAUUAAUCGAGUUAGUUGUGUAGAUACAUAUUUUGAUGAGUGCCAAACUUAAAUUAGAUCACUAUGUACAAAUUUAAAAACCCAUGCAUGUGAUGUGAUGUGUCACGAAAUUUAUGAUCACAUGUGAUGUAUCACGUAUUUAAUUUCGAGAAGCCAUUAACAGGAUCGGAGUUCUAUUCAUCUAUAAAUAAAAGGGUAAGCAUCGAUCAUUUUAAUUAGGUACACACAGUGGAAAAUAUAAUUCAAUUCAAUACUAAUUUAUAAUUGUUAUCAAGUGUUUUUAUACAGCCAAAUUUAGUAACAAAGAAAAUCAAACGACUAAACCGCAAUAGAUGUUGGGUUGAAAUAUCAAUUAAUUGAGUGAGUUGUAAAAGUUAUUAAUUUCUUUUGUAUUAAAAUAAGUUGUAAUUAACAAUUUUAAUUCAAUUCAAUUCACGCUAAUUACACUCUUUCUCCCUCUCUCUCUUAACUGUCAUCCUUGAGACUGUCAAUAACUUCUGUCAUCUUCUCCGUCCACUGUCUACUGGCGGCGCGCCAUAACCGAACUGAAGUAAGAUUGCAGACUCCUUAAGAUUUAAUACAUCUUUCUUUCUGUUUUUCUUGGUUUAUUCAUUGUGAUAACAAUGAUCCACUCCAAAUUAACAUUAUAUAUACACAUAUCUUCUUGUGUGUGUUUUGAUGAUGUUUUUUUCAUCAGUGUCAAACUGGUCAAUCAUUACUAGUCGUCGCUUGUCAAUCAUCUGACUAAUUAUUAAUGCAGGAAUCAUAUUAGUCGAACGACCGGAUAUUCAGUCAUGCACACGUUACACUCAUCGAUCCUUUGCUCGAAAGAGGACGUCGUGAAUAAAAUGAUCAAUCCUCACUCAUAUUGUAUUGAUUUUCAGGAGGGUAAAAUUAUUAGUCUUUUCACCGCAUUGGGAGUGAUCCAACCUAAAUCCGGUCAAUCUCCUUUCAGUCACUCAUUCUGUGUAUGUAGAUCGAGAUCCGGUUAAGAUAAAUUAUUUAAGGUGAUUUGAAUAGAAGAAGAGUAUAAUUGAAGAUGAAGAAGAUAGGAAAAGGAGUUAACUAACUCAAGAAUUAAAAAAUGGAAGAAGAAGAAGCUAGGUAGAAGAUCGAAUAAAUUAGUUGCAAGAUGUGAUUAAACAAUAAAAAAGGAAUUAAGCAUAGUGGGACUUAAUUCACAUUUAUUAAUUUAAGCAUAAACUAUACAAUUCGACUUUUACAUGGGAGUUUAUUCUACUUGAAGUACUUGAGAAUUAUACUGAGGUCAAUAUAGAGGACCGAUCGGCGAUCACUGGGUGGAAUCGACUUAUUUUUCAGGCUGCAGUCCUUGUACAGGACUUGAUAUCACCAUAUUUGAAGCACUAAAAGAAAUAAGGUUUUUUUGUAGACCUAAACAUUUUUCAGCUUACGGGUCCAAAUCCUUUAAUAGGCCUAAAAGUAGUCCCAAACCUGAACCCAAACGUCCGGGUCUGAGCCAGAUCCGGGUUGGACCCGGACCCAUUUACACCCAGACCCAUUUACACCCCUGAUUGUGAGUAUAUAUUUGAUUUGUAAAUGAAAUUUUUAUUGAAAUGAAUUAUAAAUUGAAUGUAUUAUAAUUUUGUGAAUGAAUGUUUUAUGAAUAAAUGUUUGAUGUGAAAGGCUCCUAGAGAGCAACCAUUCAAUUUGUGAUAAAAUAUUUUUGUCGACAUAAAUAAUUAGCGACGGCUAAUUGAGACAGAAAGUAAUUAAAAAAUUAAUAGGGACGGCUAGUUGAGACAAAAACUCAGGAAGUUAUUAAAAAUCGUAAUAGAGACGGUUUAGGGACGGCUUAGAAACGGUUAGUUGAAACAGAAAAUAAUUAAAAAAAUGUAAUAGCUACAGACCUUAGGAACAAUUAGUUUAGACAGAAAGUAAUUAAAAAAUUAUUAGAGACGACUCAGGGACGGAAAUUUAAAAAUUUAGAGACGACUUAGGAACGACAAUGAAAAUUUGGCGCCAAAAUAUCGACUUAGAAAAAUAAUUAACGACGGAUUAGGGACGGCUUAAGUGCUUAACCCUAAACCAUAUCCAACCCCAACAUCUUUUUUGGAAUGGAUAUCAAGGCCGUCCCCAAAAAGUCAGUGAGACGAUUUUCAGAGAUGUCUUGGAGUCGGCCAUUUUUCGUCUCUAAUUAACAAUUAACAAUGACUUUACAUCGUGAAUGACGGAUUCUGACUGUCCCUAAAUAUCGUUUUUCUUGAAGUGUAAGUAUUAAUACAAUUUAUGAUUAAUAUGUGUAUAUACAAUGAACGUAGCAAAAGAUAUAAAACAUAUAUAAUAUCAAAUAUGUAACUAUUACAAAUCGAUUGAUUGAUAUGAUAAUAAAUAUGCAAUAUGUAUGUGGUAAUGAGAGUAUGACUCGUGGAAGAUCGAUUGAGACACCUCGAGACUCGUGGAAGAUCGAUGGUUGUGAACAUGUCUUGGGCUAAAAUCUUGCCCAAAUCAAAUGACCAAACACUAGAUAUAUGGACCAAGAUUGAGGAGAAGGUGUGUCAAACCACUUAAGUAUAGGAUGUGUCCAGUCGUUUCCCCCUCAGUCGGUCAAACGACUCACUGAUCGACUGAAAUACUAGUCAGUCUCUCACAGUCAGUCAGUCAGUCAGUCAGUCAGUCAGUCAGUUCGUGACUGAUCUCACAACAGUGUGGAAAGAUUCAUUUGCCCCCCCGCCAUAGUUUAUAAAUAAUGAAAGGAUUUCAUCAUUUAUGGAUUGUAUAGGGUGAGUGCAACAGUUGGAAGAAUAUGAAAGGUCGUGUGUAUGGGUAUUAAACUAUUAACGAUGAUGAGGCGGCGAGUUAAAAUUCGUGUUGGACUUAUAUUCUUACCCGUUUCUUUUUUGUCCGGGGUCAGGACGACCAGAUCUGUAGGAUACCGAGGUGGAUACGGGUCAGACCAGGGGCCAAACCCUGAAGCCCACCCUUGAUCUUAAGUCUUAUUAAAUAGUUUUGAAGAAGACAACUUAAACUUGGAUAUCAACUAUCAAGUUUUAAAUGAAUAUUUUCAAAUUGACUUCUAUCUUUUAAAAAGGAUCUGACUGUAAUGAGUGAAGUUAACAAGGUGCAAAUAGUAAGAAAAUAUAGAAAUUAGCGACAAGUAUUUAAGUAGGUUAAGUAUUACAGAUACUAUUUACAAAUUUACCAUCGUUCGGCGCUUGAUGAUUAAUUACCGGAAUUUAUUUUUAAUUACAGUCAUGAACUCACGAUCCAACAGAAGUCUGUCCAUGUUCUCCGGUGACAGACAGAUCUCAAACUCCACACUCCCAUCACCUUCCCUUCCCGGAAAAGCAGACACCUUGCCGUCGAACUUAAUGGCGUUCCCACUGCGAAUCGCCACCGCCUUCCCCCACCCAAAGUCGCACCCGUACAUGUCAUAUCUCGGCGAGCUUCCUAUAUGAAUGCUUUGGGCGUCGAACAUAGCAAGUGUAUAUAUACUAGGUUCAUCCAUCCACUUGUCCACCUUGGCUCGGAUUUCAACAUCAGUAUAUGAUCUUACUAUUCGAUUUAGCAUCGCCCCAGCCCAACCGAUGCCGUGCGAGAGCAACUCUCCGGCGGUGGUGGUGGCGUAGAGGGCGUAAAUCGUAUUACCGAAAUAGUUUGGCGAGAGAGGUGGUCUGAAACGUGUACGGUUAUCAAAUGCCAAUCGGCACCCCACUGUUUCAUUCUCUGGGAAUUCUCUUGCUCGGGUGAUGGACCGCCACACUAGAGCAGCUAGUGUUUGGAAUGAUGAGAUUGUUGGUUCUCCGGUUUGUCUGUUCUCGUCGUUAGCUUUUUCUCUGAGACGAGUGAUGGAUUCGGACGGGAAGUGAAAGAAUAUUUCUCUCAGAUUGGGUGCUUUGGGUCUCAGUAUGUAUUCUUCCGGUUCAUUGUAAGGUAGCUUGAUCGGAAUCGAUGUGCCGUCGACGAACCAACGAUUGUGAACCGGAGGGCGAGAAAUGGGAUCAACACCACGGUUUAUUUCAGCCCAUGUCGUGACGAAGUUCCAGAAAGAUGUACCAUCACCGACGAUAUGGUUGAAGGAGAACCCGAGGAAGAACCCGUCGACAAGUUCCGUGAGUUGAAUCGCGAGGAGAGGAACAUUAUGACCAUCGUAGCAAAUCGCCAAAUCCAAGCAAAAGAACUCCUUAACGAACGAGGGAGUGUAGAAAGGUUCGACGACAUCUGCAACCGAUAUACCGUCGGCAACGGAUCGAACGAAGUCCGCUCCUCCUGCAUUACAGUUGAUGUAAGUGAACAGACCCUUGGUUCCAUCUGGAGACCUCUCCGUCACGAGACGACCUGCGAGUGGAUAGAAAUAAAGAAGAGCUCGUGCCAAAGAGUUCUGGAGGUGGUCGAUGACGUCGUCGAGACGGCAUGAUACGUCCGGCAUGGAGAAGAGAUGCCCUUUCUGAAUGUAAUGAGUGGAAAGCAUAGCAAGAUCCCAUGACGCAAGGUCGAUUCGUGGUGGAUGAUCCGGCGGUGGCCUCACCGUGCAAGUCGAGAUUCUUCGAACUGACGACGACAUUCUUAGGACAAUCUAUCUAUAUUCGAUAUCGUUAAAGAAUGUAGGCGCGUACUAUAAAUAAGUCAACGCAUCACAGGAUAAGGACAUAUAGUUGAUAUGACACUAAUACAUGGUUUGAAUAACAAAGUUUGUCUAUCUUUAUUUUUAGUGAAUUUUCAAUAUUUCUCAAUAGUUCUUUGUACUAAUGAAUGAAUGAAUACGUUAUUGGCGUCUUUAAUUUAUACUAAAUUAUUUUACGUUGUACAUGUGUUAAUGUUUUCUGCAGUAUAUUAUUUUAGUUAUUGAAAUAAAUAUUAAUGGACAGUUGGACACAAUUUUAUAACACACGAUAGAACAUUUAACAUACGGUACACCUAAACGCGCGUGUUAUUUUCAGGUGUGCCAUGACGUACAUGCACCGAAAUUUUUUCAGCCUUUAGAUUCUAAUCCGUCGACUGAUAAUGCAUUAUUUAUCAACAACUAAACUUUGUACAACGAGUUGUACGUCGUAUGUUACAUUAUCCUAUAAUUGUACUCGUUACUUGUAUUACGUUAUAUUAACGUCUUUGACGCAUGUGCGCCAUGGCGUAUAUUUUUAUUAUAUUUUAAAUACGAUAUAACUUAUAAGCUUGUUUUAAUAAAUAAUCAAAUUUAAUCCAAACAUAUAAAUUUUAAAUACAAAACCCUAAUAAUUUACUAGUAUUGAACUAUUGAGCAAGUUAGGGUGGAAAAAGAAACAAUGGAAUGUAUUAAGAGAGCGGACAAAAUUAAAUUUGUAUACUUGAUUAUUUUAAAGUUUUGUACAUGGUCAGUAUUUAUACACCCUCAGAUUAACUAAUUGUUCUAUAAUUAACUACUUGUACAAACUUCUAGAAUCUAUAUUAGUUAUUUAGAAUUUGUUAUUCUACUCAUAAAAUGCACAAGUCCUUUAAACGCAUAGCCAACAUAUCUAUGGCAGACCGACGAACUCUGAUGUGUAUACUUUCGAUCUUAUGGUUGUCCAUGGUGAGCGCAUAACCAUUAAGAGACGAGUCAUGUACAUGGGAAGAUAUUCGAGCUAGUAAUACGAGCAAUAUUUGAAAGCAAAGAAUGGUUAAUGUUCGACGAAAUUCAGUCCGAGAGAUCGAGAAAAGGACAUGACACUUUCAACAGAGCAAGGGAGGAUGAAUUUGAAGUAGUUAUAAAGGGAUUCAAGGGACUCGAAGCAAUUAGAUGCUCCUUCACUUCGACUAAUGGGGUAGGAGCACAACACACCCUCUCGGAACUUGAUGGUGCUACAGAUAAAAUCGGUUGGAUCACACGUUGAACACAAAUGAGUCGACUGCACCUCAUAUUGGGAACCACCAACGACCAUAUAGGCAUCCAUCUUGAACUAGUACAUGUGCAGAAAGGCCCAAAGUUAUUUAGGUUCUAAAACUUGUGAAGAUGACCAAAUUACAAUUUGAUCCGACAAAUCUAGAACUUCAUAACAACUGCAAAACUCUCCAAGAAAAAUUGGGUGUACUCUAGCACCAUGAGCUACAAGAUGCCAGGAAGAGGGCUCACAUCAAUUGGAUCACAGAGGGCGAUCAGUGUACACGAUUCUUCACUCGAGCAACUGAAUCAAGGCAUGUUCAGAAUUCGAUCAUGCGCGCACUAGACUCUGACGUGAAUCAAAUACACUCUCUGAUAGAAAUGAAGGAGAGAACAUUCAUCGUCUUUUUCAUGUCAGAAGAUAGGGCUUAGCCAAUACCAAACCUAAACUUGUUCAUUUUAAUUAUAUUUUUUCUUCUCGUAUCGGAACUUUUUGAAAUUGAAAGUUUCAAGUUUCAUUAAUUUAUUAUCGUCCUCCUGAUCUCGUCUAUCUCAAUGUACAAUUGAACUCUUUAGAAGAGUUGAGUGAAAGUCUUGGCCUUUUGAACCUUCAUAUUCUCAGUCAAUGGAAAGUAUAGGUGUUAAACCCUUGAAUCCUUGAUGUACCCACCGAUCGAUGUUUGUGCUUAGGAUUAACUUGUUCACUUUUGUCAUCAUGGAAAUGAACUUCAUUUGUGUAAUCCCGAAGGGAGGUGUCCCCUUGUCGUACAUAGGGCCAACAGAGAGUUAGCGUUAUGCUUGAUUUGAAUCAUCCUCACGUGUUGGGUGAUAAAUUUCAGAGAAUGUUCUGUGAAGCUGGUGGUUGAUCCAACUGACAGACUGAAAAUUAAAACCACCGAUACGGGUUACCUUUGGAAGUACCGGGGAAUGUCUGGUACAACUUAACCCGUUAUCGAUGGUUUGUUGUUUUAAGAUAUUCAAGCAAAGGUUAAAAUGAUCCUCAAGAUUUGUUGUCUCAUUGUACGAGUCUAUCUUUAAAGACCGUCAGAAUCACGGAAAAGGUAUCUUCAGAAGGUCCAUAUGAAAGGGUGUCGUCUUUUUUGCCAUGAGGAAUUGGUCUGAGCUGCCUAUGACGUGUUCAUCGGCUAGCUUAUGAUGAAUAUCUUCUGCUAUUCGAGUUGCCAAGAUCGUAUCGUACUUAGUGUUACGAGACUUGGUCAACCUCGAUUCAGAUCGAUGAUGUGAACUUAAUUAACUUAGUUUUCCCCAUAGAGGGGGAAUGAUGUGAGUUAGAAUAUUUGUUUGUCACAUUUCUCAUAAUCGUCCUGCUUCUAAAAGUCUUCAGAUGAUUUAUCUCUUUUCCAAACUCUAGCAUGAGAACUUUCAUUUGCGAAAAUUGUUCCUGCAUUGUGGGAGUGGCAGGCCGGAGCAUGCACUUUGGCGUCUUGUAUCAUCUUAGAGUUGCUAAAAUCAUAAUUUCUAUUCUUCGGAAGUACAUGUGUAUGGUACUAUACCACCAAUGUCCGCUUACCAAAGUCUAGGGUUUCAGAGAAAAUAACAUAUUUACUAUGUUUUCUUUUUUACAUUUUGAAAUCAAUAAAUUUGCAACUAGUUUCAAAUUCAAAAAUAAAAAUUAGUAAUUUCUGUAAAUUUUAUACUUUUUAACAUUGUAAACAUUUUUAAUUUUAGGCAAAGGUAACUUGUCAACUUUUUUUUUUUAACUAAAGACAAUUAAGUGGAUCCGUUGAACAUGGCAGAAUGCAGAUGACUCAAGAUCCAACGUAUAUAUUUAUUUUAUUAAUUUAUGUAAUAUGUAAUUUUCCAAAAACAAUUGUUAGAAUAAAUUAAUAGGGUCUCGGGUGAGAUUCUCAGUACCUGCCCGUCCGGUAGGGGAGGCUUUUUUCUACCCGAAGUAGGAAAAUCCCCAUCCCCGACCGAAAUCCCCGGCCAUUUCCGGGUACGGGAUGGGGAUUGAAAUCCACGCCCCAGACAAUACCCUACCCAGGUAAAUUGCAUUUAAACCUUAAAUAAUAUUUGAUAUAAAUAACCCUAUAUAACAUAUUAAACACAUAAGUUUAUAUUUAAAAUAUAUUUAUAAAAAAUUAUAUUUAACUUCCCAUAAGUUUAUAUUUAAAAUAUAUAUAUAAAAAAUUAUAUUUAACCCUCUACGUUUAAAUUUUGAAUAUUUUUUAAAAUUUUAAUUUUAAACCCCAAAUGUGAAAUAUCAAAUCCCUAAAUUUAUUUGUUUUCUUAAAUCAUAAAUCACAUCUUCACUAAAACGAUUUUAUUUAAGUAUCUUAAUUACAUUAGUAACGUUAUUGUUUAUAAUAAAAAUUGAAAUUAAACAAAGUAUCUGUCCCUUUUCCCUUUACCUGGCAUUGGUCAGGUACGAGGAUGAUUUUUGAGUACGCAAUCUAAGCCCCAUCCCCAUACCAGAUCAUCCCUAAUAUCCUGUAUUCAUCCCUUUGGUAAGUAAAUGAGUGAGUUAAUCAAACCAAGGCAGCUCAGUCAAUUAAUAUUUGGAGAUGUAGGAUGGUCAAACCAAGUUGGGUAUUCGAUUAGUCAAACCAACCAAGUGGUACUCUCAGUUAAAAAUAACAACAACAAAAAGAAGCUCGUUACGUAUUACAAAUACUAUUUAUUUAUUUACCAUCACUCGGCCCAUGAACUACCGGAAUUGUUAGGUUUUAAUCAGAGCCAUGAACUCACGAUCCAAUAAAAGUCUGUCCAUGUUCUCUGGUGACAGACAAAUCUCAAACUCCACACUCCCAUCACCUUCCCUUCCCGGAAAAGCAGACACUUUGCCGUCAAACUUAUUGGCGUUCCCACUGCGAAUCGCCACCGCCUUCCCCCACCCGAAAUCGCACCCGUACAUGUCAUAUCUCGGCGAGCUUCCUAUAUGGAUGCUUUGGGCGUCGAACAUAGCAAGUGUAUAUAUGCUAGGUGCAUCCAUCCACUUGUCCACCUUGCCUCGGAUUUCAACGUCGGUAUAUGAUCUUACUAUUCGAUUUAGCAUCGCCCCAGCCCAACCGAUGCCGUGUGAUAGCAGUUCGCCGACGGUGGUGGCGGCGUAGACGGCGUAAACUGUAUUGCCGAAGUAGUCUGGCGAGAGAGGUGGCCGGAAACGUGAUCGGUUAUCGAAUGCCAAUCGACACCCUACUGUUUCAUUCUCUGGGAAUUUUCUGGCUCGGGUGAUGGACCGCCACAUCAGAGAAGCUAGUGCUUGGAAUGAUGAGAUUGUUGGUUCUCCGGCUUUUCUGUUCUCGUCGUUGGCUCUUUCUCUGAGAUGAGCGAUGGAUUCGAACGGGAAAAGGAAGAAUACUUCUUUCAGGUUAGGUGCUUUGGGUCUCAGGAUAUAUUCUUCCGGUUCAUUGUAAGGUAGUUUGAUCGGAAUCGAUGUGCCGUCGACGAACCAACGAUCGAGAACCGGUGGGCGUGAAAUGGGAUCAACACCACGGUUUAUUUCAGCCCAUGCUGUGACGAAGUUCCAGAAGGCUGUACCAUCGCCGACGACAUGGUUUAAGGAG
This 12977-nucleotide long non-coding RNA is filed under the name Zostera marina. RNAcentral's name for it is "long non-coding RNA (ZMAR_LNC003381)". The record is from RNAcentral. Lineage: Eukaryota; Viridiplantae; Streptophyta; Magnoliopsida; Alismatales; Zosteraceae.